Hevea brasiliensis (rubber tree) is the source of this 1038-nucleotide long non-coding RNA. RefSeq lists it as uncharacterized. The record is from RefSeq and is a predicted model, not a curated record. The transcript has 2 exons. NCBI's taxonomy places the organism in Eukaryota, Viridiplantae, Streptophyta, Magnoliopsida, Malpighiales, Euphorbiaceae.
CUUCUCUUCUCUCUCUCUCUCUCUCUCAUAUCAUGGUGUCUAUAUUUAGUUGCAAGCUGGGGUGCAACUACAACCCCACAUCUUUCCUUCUUUCCCUCUCAAAAUACUACAUACAAACCCCACAAAAAUUAGCCACCCCUUCCUCAAGUUUAGCCACUGGUUUGCUUGUUUUAUGCCAAUUCAAAAGGGUUUUGUGGGGCUUUGAAACACCCCUCUAGGUAUUUGAUUAUGACCCAGUUCCUAUUUUCCACAGAUCUCUCUCCUCUCCCUCUCCAUAAAUACCACUCUCUCCUCCUUUCUCUUUCCCUUCAAUCCCUCCGUCUUCCUCUCUCCCUAAUCCAUACUCCUUCUACACAACCUCUCUUGUAGUUACUUAGCUUCUAACAUGGACAAGACUAUCUCCGUGGAAGCUAGCUUGAAAAUUCUUUACUUAAUAUGCACCUCAAGUUCAUGCCCAUACUCUAAUACAUAAGCACAUCAUCACAUAAAAUAUAUCACUCCCCUGCAUAUAUAAGCAUCACAUACAUAUACUACAGGUAUACUUGUAUGUUUAUUUUUGCAUACGCAUGCUUUAACAUCAAGCAUACAUAUAUUGUAUGUGCCUGGCUCCCUGUAUGCCAUUUGCAGAGCCCACCGGAGAAUCGAUGGCCUCCGUGGAUGGCGUAUGAGGAGCCAUGCAUAUUCUCAUAUAUGUCAUCCAUGGUGUAUUUGCAGGAAUUUUUUUUCUUCUUCUUGCAAGCUUUAGCAGGCCAGUUAGAGAAUCGGGUUAUUGGUAUAUAUGAAGAAACACGCAAAUGGCAAUUCCCACUUGCUCUAGGGCACUUUCCCUUUGGCUUUGCUCUUUAUUAAAAUCAAAAGCAAAUGGAAUUGAUCGAAGAUGAAUAGUAAAUAAAGCAAAAGGGUAGAUAUUUAUCUUAUCAAGACCAUGACACUGUCUUAUUCUUUUCCAUAGACUCAUAGAGACUAGAGAGUGGAGUUGUGAGCUCACCCUGCAUGCACCAGAUAUAAUAAUAAUAAUGCACACGCUUUUCUUUCUUU